UGGGGAAUUUUGGACAAUGGGCGCAAGCCUGAUCCAGCAAUGCCGCGUGCAGGAUGAAGGCCUUCGGGUUGUAAACUGCUUUUGUACGGAGCGAAAAGGUCUGCCCUAAUACGGUGGGCUCAUGACGGUACCGUAAGAAUAAGCACCGGCUAACUACGUGCCAGCAGCCGCGGUAAUACGUAGGGUGCAAGCGUUAAUCGGAAUUACUGGGCGUAAAGCGCGCGCAGGCGGUUAUGCAAGACAGAGGUGAAAUCCCCGGGCUCAACCUGGGAACUGCCUUUGUGACUGCAAGGCUUGAGUGCGGCAGAGGGGGAUGGAAUUCCGCGUGUAGCAGUGAAAUGCGUAGAUAUGCGGAGGAACACCGAUGGCGAAGGCAAUCCCCUGGGCCUGCACUGACGCUCAUGCACGAAAGCGUGGGGAGCAAACA
Molecule: ribosomal RNA, 427 nt
Filed under: uncultured bacterium
Lineage: Bacteria
Description: bacterial SSU rRNA
Rfam family: Bacterial small subunit ribosomal RNA
Source: RNAcentral